UACGUAGGGGGCAAGCGUUGUCCGGAUUUAUUAGGCGUAAAGAGCGUGUAGGCGGUUAGGUAGGUCCGUUGUGAAAACUCGAGGCUCAACCUCGAGACGCCGAUGGAAACCAUCUGACUAGAGUCCGGAAGAGGAGAGUGGAAUUCCUGGUGUAGCGGUGAAAUGCGCAGAUAUCAGGAAGAACACCCGUGGCUAAGGCGGCUCUCUAGUACGUGACUGACGCUGAGACGCGAAAGCGUGGGGAGCGAACAGG
This 253-nucleotide ribosomal RNA is filed under the name uncultured bacterium. RNAcentral describes it as "partial 16S ribosomal RNA". It matches the Rfam family "Bacterial small subunit ribosomal RNA", at positions 524 to 776 of the family's 1533-position model. The record is from RNAcentral.